AAAGUAACUGUAAACUACAUUCCUGGUAAAAUGUUAAAUUUAUACAUAUUUUUUUCUUUAUUAAUAGGAGAGUGUAGAAGAUUCACAAUGGAAAGUUUAUCUCAACACUCAGAACAUUCGGAAAAAGAACUAACAGGAUUUACAGAUAAUCAAGUGUGAUGUUUAAAGCAACUUUUGACAACAGCAAAGCAAGAGGAAAAUUACAAUAUCACAUUAGAUUUUUAUCUGUUUUAAUAGGAAUAUGUUACAAAUAGUAUAGAGUAAUAAUAAAACUGAAUGUGAUUAUGUUUUUAUUGCAUCUUGUAUUGCAAUGUAUUACUACAAAUUUAGUCUAAAGUAUCUAAAUUCAUGAAAAUAAAUAUCUCCCAAAUGUUUAGAAAUAUGAACAAUUAUCCAUAAAACAAACUAUAAAACUUUUCCUCUUCUCCACUAUUCCACAGGAAUGUGAUAUCAAAAUUUAUUUCUAAUGAGAAAAUAAUUAUAAGCUUAAGGGCAUCUUCUUCUAAUAUUUGCUAAAAUUCCAAGGAACCUAUUCAGCAUAGAUUACUGGAUCAUAAGCAAUAAAUGCUAUCAUAUUGAUAAAUAUUUUUCAAAACAGUUCAUUUAUCAAACAAAGUAUAUUCAAUGAUACUUUUGCCUGAUGGUAAGUAAUCGAAUUUAUCAUGUCAAAAAUUUUUUUUUAAUCCUUCAGUCUUAGGACCCUCCCUGACGUAUCUUACAAAAUGAGAGAAAACAGCUAAAGUGAUUAUGAACAUACUUUCUGAAGAUCUCCAGCUCAAAGGCAAUUCAUGAAUGGAGUACUUUACCAGCAAUAAAGAAUUUUCUCUUGUUUAAUCCUGGUCAGUAUAUGCUUUAGUUCUGGUUUCUUUGAAUGCUCCAUGAUUGAUUGGUAGAUACUAAU
RNAcentral lists this long non-coding RNA (901 nucleotides) under Dasypus novemcinctus (nine-banded armadillo). RNAcentral describes it as "lncRNA (ENSDNOG00000051172.1)". The record is from RNAcentral. Lineage: Eukaryota; Metazoa; Chordata; Mammalia; Cingulata; Dasypodidae.